RNAcentral lists this ribosomal RNA (256 nucleotides) under uncultured bacterium. Its description in RNAcentral is "partial 16S ribosomal RNA". It matches the Rfam family "Bacterial small subunit ribosomal RNA", at positions 524 to 776 of the family's 1533-position model. The record is from RNAcentral.
GACGUAGGUGGCGAACGUUAUCCGGAAUUAUUGGGCGUAAAGGGUGCGUAGAUGGUGUGAUAAGUUAUCAGUGGGAAAUCGAGGCUCAACCUCGUGGAAGUUGGUAAUACUAUUAUACUAGAGUGCAGGAGAAGUUAACGGAACUCCAUGUGGAGCGGUAAAAUGCGUAGAUAUAUGGAAGAACAUCAAUAACGGCGAAGGCAGUUAACUAUUCUGUUACUGACAUUGAGGCACGAAAGCGUGGGGAGCAAAACGG